AUUCACCUAAAAUUAUUCUACUCCUAUCCAGGAGAGAAUAGCCAAAAACAUUAUCCUAUCCCUGUUAUUCCCCAUGAAAUAAAUGCUCUUGAUAUUUUGGUUACUCCCACUUGCUACAUUAUUCUAGUAGGGUGAGUGCUCUGAAAACAAAACAAGGAAAUAAAAAGGGGCAAGUGCCCGGAACCUCAAAGAAAAGAAAAAGUGAGACGAGAGGUAAAAAUGGACAAGUGUCCGACAAUAGAAUUAGGGGUACAAGAUACCCACCUGAGAGGAAAGAAAAAGAAAAUAUAGAGCAUCUCAUUCUCCUCAAAAAGCUUCAAAGUGCAAGAAAGGUGUGUAUCCCCUCAAAAGAGCAAAAGUAGAAUUAGGCUUUCACCAUUGUUUUCAUCAUUAUCACCAUUAUCACCAUACACCAUUCAUUCGCCAC
Molecule: long non-coding RNA, 427 nt
Filed under: Sorghum bicolor (sorghum)
Lineage: Eukaryota; Viridiplantae; Streptophyta; Magnoliopsida; Poales; Poaceae
Description: long non-coding RNA (SBIC_LNC006840)
Source: RNAcentral